CCUACGGGUGGCAGCAGUAGGGAAUGUUCGGCAAUGGGGGGAACCCUGACCGAGCAACGCCGCGUGAAGGAAGAAGUUAUUCGUAAUGUAAAGUUCUUUUAACAGGGAAGAAAGAGAAAUUUGACGGUACCUGAAGAAUAAGCCCCGGCUAACUAGGUGCCAGCAGCCGCGGUAAUACGUAGGGAGCGAGCGUUAUCCGGAGUUAUUGGGCGUAAAGGGUGCGUAGAUGGCAUAGUAAGUCUUUUGUAAAAAUGCUGGGCUCAACCCAGUAGGGCAAAAGAUACUGCAAAGCUAGAGUAUGCCAGAGGCAAGUGGAACUACAUGUGUAGCGGUCAAAUGCGUAGAGAUAUGUAAGAACACCAGUGGCGAAGGCGGCUUGCUGGGUCGAUACUGACAUUGAGGCACGAAAGCGUGGGGAGCAAACAGGAUUAGAUACCCGGGUAGUC
Molecule: ribosomal RNA, 446 nt
Filed under: uncultured bacterium
Lineage: Bacteria
Description: partial 16S ribosomal RNA
Rfam family: Bacterial small subunit ribosomal RNA
Source: RNAcentral